This 305-nucleotide ribosomal RNA is filed under the name uncultured bacterium. RNAcentral describes it as "bacterial SSU rRNA". It matches the Rfam family "Bacterial small subunit ribosomal RNA", at positions 333 to 652 of the family's 1533-position model. The record is from RNAcentral.
UUGUACCUACGGGAGGCAGCAGUAGGGAAUCUUCCACAAUGGGCGAAAGCCUGAUGGAGCAGCGCCGCGUGAAGGAAGACGGUUUUCGGAUUGUAAACUUCUUUUCUUAGUGAAGAAGCAAGUGACGGUAGCUAAGGAAUAAGCAUCGGCUAACUACGUGCCAGCAGCCGCGGUAAUACGUAGGAUGCGAGCGUUAUCCGGAAUUACUGGGUGUAAAGGGAGCGCAGGCGGGACUGCAAGUUGGAUGUGAAAUACCGCAGCUUAACUGCGGAGCUGCAUCCCAAACUGUAGUUCUUGAGGGGAGG